RNAcentral lists this ribosomal RNA (250 nucleotides) under uncultured bacterium. RNAcentral describes it as "partial 16S ribosomal RNA". It matches the Rfam family "Bacterial small subunit ribosomal RNA", at positions 524 to 773 of the family's 1533-position model. The record is from RNAcentral.
UACAGAGGUCUCAAGCGUUGUUCGGAUUCAUUGGGCGUAAAGGGUGCGUAGGCGGCGCGGAAAGUCGGGUGUGAAAUUUCGGAGCUUAACUCCGAAACUGCAUUCGAUACUCCCGUGCUUGAGGACUGGAGAGGAGACCGGAAUUUACGGUGUAGCAGUGAAAUGCGUAGAGAUCGUAAGGAAGACCAGUGGCGAAGGCGGGUCUCUGGACAGUUCCUGACGCUGAGGCACGAAGGCCAGGGGAGCAAAC